RNAcentral lists this ribosomal RNA (253 nucleotides) under uncultured bacterium. Its description in RNAcentral is "partial 16S ribosomal RNA". It matches the Rfam family "Bacterial small subunit ribosomal RNA", at positions 524 to 776 of the family's 1533-position model. The record is from RNAcentral.
UACGGAGGGUGCAAGCGUUGUCCGGAAUCACUGGGCGUAAAGGGCGCGUAGGCGGCCUGGUAAGUAGGGGGUGAAAUCCUGCGGCUUAACCGCAGGGCUGCCUUCUAAACUGUCAGGCUUGAGCACGGUAGAGGCAGAUGGAAUUCCCGGUGUAGCGGUGGAAUGCGUAGAGAUCGGGAAGAACAUCAGUGGCGAAGGCGGUCUGCUGGGCCGUUGCUGACACUGAACCGCGACAGCAUGGGGAGCAAACAGG